Molecule: long non-coding RNA, 407 nt
Filed under: Callithrix jacchus (white-tufted-ear marmoset)
Lineage: Eukaryota; Metazoa; Chordata; Mammalia; Primates; Cebidae
Description: lncRNA (ENSCJAG00000081410.1)
Source: RNAcentral
CAACUGGAGCUGCUGAUAAGACACCUACUCGGAGUAAUGAUGCAUAAUGUGAAAAUGCAAUAACCCAGACCUCAUAAGUACGGACGAAUGCCAUCUUUUUAAAGGAAAUGGUUGCAAAUGUGAAGUGCAAUGUGCUGAGCCAUUUUCAAAGGCUGGAGUGAAGGUGUGAUAUCAUAGCUCACUGCAGCCUCUAACUUCUGGGCUCAAGUGAUCCUCCCUCUUCGGCCUCCUAAAGUGCUGGGAUUACAACUAGUAUGUGUCAGAGCUGGAAGGAGGAUGCAGAUCUUUUGAUUUCAAGUUCAAGAACACCAUUGAUAUUGGUCUCAGGGAGCUGUAACUUCAAAACCAAUGGAUGUAUCUUAGAGGGGAAUGAGGUCAACUUGUCUCCCAAGUCUGGUGUAGUCUCA